This 443-nucleotide ribosomal RNA is filed under the name uncultured bacterium. RNAcentral describes it as "partial 16S ribosomal RNA". It matches the Rfam family "Bacterial small subunit ribosomal RNA", at positions 338 to 795 of the family's 1533-position model. The record is from RNAcentral.
CCUACGGGAGGCAGCAGUGGGGAAUAUUGGGCAAUGGGCGCAAGCCUGACCCAGCAACGCCGCGUGAAGGAAGAAGGCUUUCGGGUUGUAAACUUCUUUUAUCAGGGACGAAGCAAGUGACGGUACCUGAUGAAUAAGCCACGGCUAACUACGGACCAGCCGCCGCGGUAAUAAGUAGGUGGCAAGCGUUAUGCGGAUAUACUGGGUGGAAAGGCCGUGUAGGGGGGUGUGCAAGUCAGAAGUGAAAACUAUGGGAUUAACCCAUCGCCUGCAUUUGAUACUGUACUUCUUGAGUGCUGUAGAGGCAAGCGGAAUUCCGGGUGUAGCGGUGAAAUGCGUAGAUAUACGGAGGAACACCAGUGGCGAAGGCGGAUUACUGGGCAGUAACUGACGCUGAGGCGCGAAAGCGUGGGGAGCAAACAGGAUUAGAUACCCCAGUAGUC